Molecule: long non-coding RNA, 233 nt
Filed under: Gallus gallus (chicken)
Lineage: Eukaryota; Metazoa; Chordata; Aves; Galliformes; Phasianidae
Source: RNAcentral
CAAGGCUGUCCGCUCACUUCCUGCAUCUUGAGUGCUUCACAGGGCUUUUGUGAGCUGAAAAAUUCCUCCGGCUGCGGUGCCCACGCUUCUGCUGCUGCUCGGCCAGCUCAAUGGAGCAGGUGGGCGGUGAGGCGGCACGCAUGCUGCGCAUCACCUGGAUGCUGUCCUCGGGCAGGGGUGGCAGCCCCAGCUCCUCCCUCCUCCUCACCUUCAUUGUCUGCAGGGCUUCAAAU